AGUGAACGCUGGCGGUAGGCCUAACACAUGCAAGUCGAGCGGCAGCACAGUAAGAGCUUGCUCUUACGGGUGGCGAGUGGCGGACGGGUGAGGAAUACAUCGGAAUCUACUUUUUCGUGGGGGAUAACGUAGGGAAACUUACGCUAAAACCGCAUACGACCUACGGGUGAAAGCAGGGGAUCUUCGGACCUUGCGCGAUUGAAUGAGCCGAUGUCGGAUUAGCUAGUUGGCGGGGUAAAGGCCCACCAAGGCGACGAUCCGUAGCUGGUCUGAGAGGAUGAUCAGCCACACUGGAACUGAGACACGGUCCAGACUCCUACGGGAGGCAGCAGUGGGGAAUAUUGGACAAUGGGCGCAAGCCUGAUCCAGCCAUACCGCGUGGGUGAAGAAGGCCUUCGGGUUGUAAAGCCCUUUUGUUGGGAAAGAAGAGCAGCAGGUUAAUACCCCGCUGUUCUGACGGUACCCAAAGAAUAAGCACCGGCUAACUUCGUG
This 492-nucleotide ribosomal RNA is filed under the name uncultured bacterium. RNAcentral describes it as "partial 16S ribosomal RNA". It matches the Rfam family "Bacterial small subunit ribosomal RNA", at positions 29 to 507 of the family's 1533-position model. The record is from RNAcentral.